RNAcentral lists this transfer RNA (73 nucleotides) under Perca fluviatilis (European perch). It matches the Rfam family "tRNA". Rfam says of the family: Transfer RNA (tRNA) molecules are approximately 80 nucleotides in length. Lineage: Eukaryota; Metazoa; Chordata; Actinopteri; Perciformes; Percidae. The record is from Rfam by way of RNAcentral.
GGGGGAUUAGCUCAAACGGUAGAGCGCUCGCUUUGCAUGUGAGAAGUAGCGGGAUCGACGCCCGUAUCCUCUG